This is a non-coding RNA of Ciona intestinalis (vase tunicate), 438 nucleotides long. Lineage: Eukaryota; Metazoa; Chordata; Ascidiacea; Phlebobranchia; Cionidae. The record is from RefSeq and is a predicted model, not a curated record.
CUCAAGCGAAGACAUUUGAACGUAAGGAGAGGAAAUUUAUUGUUGGCAGUUAAGUUUUUAGAAUUCUGAUUUGUUUUAUGUGGUUUUGAUUCAAAAUAGGCACAUUAGCAGUUAAUGAGAGAUAGGUCUUAGCAGUUAAUGAGAGAUAGGUGUUAUUAAGCUCGUUCUUGUUGUUUAGUCCAGCUGCUCAAUCGGAGAAAAAAAUGAAUCAUAGGACAACUGCUUUACAUGUCAUAAGACUGUUAAAAGAAGUGGCUUUUAGCAUGGCAAGAUAAGGUGUGCAAGUUUACUACAGGGUUUUUACGAAAUGGAAUCUUGAGGUUCUAUAUUAGACCAAAGUCACCGGGACAAUUAAUCUUAAGUCUAUACUGGCCCAUUCUUCUGACUAUAGGUAUUUCUCAGUUCGCACACAUCAAUAUUGAGAAAUUGGACAUAGGU